RNAcentral lists this long non-coding RNA (1109 nucleotides) under Triticum aestivum (bread wheat). RNAcentral's name for it is "long non-coding RNA (TAES_LNC023048)". Lineage: Eukaryota; Viridiplantae; Streptophyta; Magnoliopsida; Poales; Poaceae. The record is from RNAcentral.
GCAUAAAAAACAUAAAUAGAAGAUCAUUACAUGAAUGAUGUAUGCAUAGCAUAUUCCUAGCACGGCAACCAAGUGAUAUGGCUCUCGACUUGGUAUGUAUUAGCAUCACAACUUUAUGUGCUUACUCAAUCCACAUCACACCCGGAUGUGCAUAUGCUUCAAGCAAGCUCUGGUUCAAGCUAACCAACCAUGUUAUCUCUUGUUUCUAUCAAUUGCAGUCCUCCCGUCGUGCUUAGCAGGCCCUGAAGUCCUCUUUUCCACACAAACAGUUAAGAGUUCAUUGAUUAGUGUCAUAACAAAAAUGUUGCAAACGGAUGAAACUAUCAAGGCAACAAAGCUUCUAGACGAAACAGAAUAGCCAUUCAACCUCUGACAAAUCAACAAUAUAAUGACGAUUAGUGCUAUAUGAUUUAUUAAAUUAUGGGUAAAGCUCAGCAACGACAUGUUUUGAAAUCAAUAAUCAUGUAAGAUUGAUCUUCUCACCAAAUUAGAUGAAAAGUAGCGACCGUCUUAUUUUCAAGAGGCAACAAGCUCGGCUUCAAAAAUGAAUUAAGAAUGGAAUAAGCAAACAAAGGUCACGUCAUCGACCAUACUCAAAAUGGUAGUCACUUCCCUUUUGUUAAUGCAGCCAACAUAAAUUUGAAUUAGUCAUAACCUGAAGGUGGGCGAUAGUUACCAAGGUUUCUCGCCGGCGUGGACUGCCGCUUUGCCCCGUUUGACGCCCAGCUUGGCCUUGUCGAAUCUGCUGAAACUAAAAAAUGUCUGUCAGAUUGGAGUGCAUACAUGUAAUUUUGAAACCUAAAUUUUGAAUGGUGAUGUAAAUUAACAAAGUCAGAAUGUCGUUAAGUCACACUAAGUGCGAGCUCUCCUGGCCAUCGAUCUAGUACAUCCUUGUAGGUGUGCCAACCUUGCCUUCCAUUUGAAAUAAGAUGUAAUCUGAAAGGCAAGCAGUAGGACAAAUCAGUCAUGAGGCUCCUUACCUCGACUCUGGCCGUCUGCAUCAAGGAGGGGGGCAACGUGAGGACAUGAGGGGAAGGUCUAGAGUGCAUACCGCUGCCAUCCGCGGCAGUUCGAUCUAACUGUCAUCGGUCGUGGCGGCUUCAGGGCUG